RNAcentral lists this ribosomal RNA (301 nucleotides) under uncultured bacterium. Its description in RNAcentral is "partial 16S ribosomal RNA". It matches the Rfam family "Bacterial small subunit ribosomal RNA", at positions 509 to 808 of the family's 1533-position model. The record is from RNAcentral.
CAGUAGCCGCGGGAAUACAGAGGAUUUAAACGUUAUCCGGAAUUAUUGGGGGUAAAGGGUACGUAGGUGGCCUUUUAAGCGUAGGGUAUAAGGCAAUGGCUCAAUCAUUGUUCGCCCUAUGAACUGGAAGGCUUGAGUGCAGGAGAGGAAAGCGGAAUUCCUAGUGUAGCGGUGGAAUGCAUAGAUAUUAGGAGGAACAUCAGCGGCGAAGGCGGCUUUCUGGACUGCAACUGACACUGAGGUACGAAAGCGUGGGGAGCAAACAGGAUUAGAGACCCGUGUAGUCCCUGUCUCUUAUACC